RNAcentral lists this ribosomal RNA (84 nucleotides) under Ailuropoda melanoleuca (giant panda). RNAcentral's name for it is "similar to 28S ribosomal RNA". It matches the Rfam family "Eukaryotic large subunit ribosomal RNA", at positions 1242 to 1325 of the family's 3401-position model. The record is from RNAcentral. Lineage: Eukaryota; Metazoa; Chordata; Mammalia; Carnivora; Ursidae.
AGGACGGUGGUCAUGGAAGUUGAAAUUCACUAAGGACUGUGUAACAACUUGCCUGCCAAAUCAACUAGCCCUGAAAAUGGAUGG